UCUUUUAUCAAUCAUGAAAGCCCUAGAAGAAGCUCCGACUUACAAGCUUCCCUCCACGGUAUUCAUCUAUGACUCCGACUGAGAUCUAAUGGGAAUACCCGACCCAAAGAAACCCCCUAAUGAACUGCAUAAUUCGGUGAGACUCUUCUCUAAGGUGCUCUUUGACGCAGGCGAUGACAACCUUCGAUGGCUUGGUGGUGGUUUCUUCAAUCGAUGGCUCCAUUUGGUUCCAGUGGGUC
This is a long non-coding RNA of Hibiscus syriacus, 239 nucleotides long. RefSeq lists it as uncharacterized. Lineage: Eukaryota; Viridiplantae; Streptophyta; Magnoliopsida; Malvales; Malvaceae. The transcript has 3 exons. The record is from RefSeq and is a predicted model, not a curated record.